GACGAACGCUGGCGGCGUGCUUAACACAUGCAAGUCGAGCGGUAAGGCCCGUUUCGGGGGUACACGAGCGGCGAACGGGUGAGUAACACGUGGGUGACCUGCCCUCAGCUCUGGGAUAAGCCUGGGAAACCGGGUCUAAUACUGGAUAUGACUCCAUGACGCAUGUUGGUGGGGUGGAAAGCCUUGUGCGGCUGAGGAUGGGCCCGCGGCCUAUCAGCUUGUUGGUGGGGUGANGGCCUACCAAGGCGACGACGGGUAGCCGGCCUGAGAGGGCGACCGGCCACACUGGGACUGAGACAC
This 300-nucleotide ribosomal RNA is filed under the name uncultured bacterium. RNAcentral's name for it is "bacterial SSU rRNA". It matches the Rfam family "Bacterial small subunit ribosomal RNA", at positions 28 to 327 of the family's 1533-position model. The record is from RNAcentral.